UCCCUGGUGGUCCAGCGGUGAAGACUCUGUGCUUCCACUGCAGGGGGUGUGGGUUCAAUUCCUGGUCGGGGAA
Molecule: transfer RNA, 73 nt
Filed under: Bos taurus (domestic cattle)
Lineage: Eukaryota; Metazoa; Chordata; Mammalia; Artiodactyla; Bovidae
Also listed under: 2 other names
Rfam family: tRNA
About the family: Transfer RNA (tRNA) molecules are approximately 80 nucleotides in length. Their secondary structure includes four short double-helical elements and three loops (D, anti-codon, and T loops).
Source: Rfam by way of RNAcentral